UCCUUUGCUAAAGGUAUGGAAACCCACAU
Molecule: non-coding RNA, 29 nt
Filed under: Mus musculus (house mouse)
Lineage: Eukaryota; Metazoa; Chordata; Mammalia; Rodentia; Muridae
Source: RNAcentral